UAGGGAAUCUUCGGCAAUGGACGGAAGUCUGACCGAGCAACGCCGCGUGAGUGAAGAAGGUUUUCGGAUCGUAAAGCUCUGUUGUAAGAGAAGGACGAGUGUGAGAGUGGAAAGUUCACACUGUGACGGUAUCUUACCAGAAAGGGACGGCUAACUACGUGCCAGNNCCCGCUAAUAAUUAGGUGUUCCCGAGCGUGUCCCGGAUUUAUUGGGCGUAAAGCGAGCGCAGGCGGUUAGAUAAGUUUGAAGUUAAAGGCUGUGGGUUAACCANNGUNCGCUGNGAAACUGUUUAACUUGAGUGCAAGAGGGGAGAGUGGAAUUCCAUGUGUAGCGGUGAAAUGCGUAGAUAUAUGGAGGAACACCGGUGGCGAAGGCGGCUCUCUGGCUUGUAACUGACGCUGAGGCUCGAAAGCGUGGGGAGCAAACAGGAUUAGAUACCCUGGUAGUCCACGCCGUAAACGAUGAGUGCUAGGUGUUAGACCCUUUCCGGGGUUUAGUGCCGCAGCUAACGCAUUAAGCACUCCGCCUGGGGAGUACGACCGCAAGGUUG
This 550-nucleotide ribosomal RNA is filed under the name uncultured bacterium. Its description in RNAcentral is "bacterial SSU rRNA". It matches the Rfam family "Bacterial small subunit ribosomal RNA", at positions 355 to 896 of the family's 1533-position model. The record is from RNAcentral.